UCAUGAAUAAAGAGUGAGGUGUACUGU
RNAcentral lists this small RNA (27 nucleotides) under Bombyx mori (domestic silkworm). RNAcentral describes it as "ovarian small RNA-26204". The record is from RNAcentral. Lineage: Eukaryota; Metazoa; Arthropoda; Insecta; Lepidoptera; Bombycidae.